CUUUCGGAUGAACGCAUGGUAUUUAUGCGUGGAGUAAAGCCAUCAACAGAGGGACUGUUUCGUUGUGAAGUCUCAGCUGACGCUCCAUCAUUUCAGACAGUGUCAGCGCAAAAAUAUAUGAUAGUGAAAGUAAACUCUCGAGCAAGUGGCAGUCGUGACUCCAGUCUUGCCCUGUUGUUGUUGUCCAUCUUGUGGCAGUUGUUAGAACUACGAAAGGUUUGCGUUCUGCUGACUUCUACUUCUUGGUAUCUCAAGAGCUAUUGCAUUUCCUAAGUCACCAUCAUCCAGUCCUGAAGAGCUUGUGGAUUUUGUGUUAUCAGAUGGAUUUAAAAUACUUGAAAAAUAUCAGUUGAUUUUUCCCCCCGUGUGGAUGUUUAUGAAUGUGUGGCUCAUAUUCUUAUAGGACUCGUGAUGCUGAAGUAAACAGUCGUGUAUCACAUCCGAAUGGAAAACAGAAGCUGGAAAAGUGAACAGCAGACGAAAGAGAAUACGAAUAAAAUCUGAGCUGUAUUUUCAUUUUAAGUUGAAAUUGAAAUAAAAGAGAUAAUCCACUUCUUUAAA
Molecule: long non-coding RNA, 561 nt
Organism: Limulus polyphemus (Atlantic horseshoe crab)
Lineage: Eukaryota; Metazoa; Arthropoda; Merostomata; Xiphosura; Limulidae
Exons: 2
Source: RefSeq, a predicted model, not a curated record